CUUCACCGAGCCGAGCAACAGCGGCACAUCCCGGCCCUGCCCGUACGUCGCCAGCAAAGCCUGCGCCUC
Molecule: antisense RNA, 69 nt
Filed under: Micromonospora sp. TSRI0369
Lineage: Bacteria; Bacillati; Actinomycetota; Actinomycetes; Micromonosporales; Micromonosporaceae
Description: ASpks sRNA
Rfam family: ASpks TB sRNA
Source: RNAcentral